Molecule: ribosomal RNA, 253 nt
Filed under: uncultured bacterium
Lineage: Bacteria
Description: partial 16S ribosomal RNA
Rfam family: Bacterial small subunit ribosomal RNA
Source: RNAcentral
UACGUAGGGUGCAGGCGUUAAUCGGAAUUACUGGGCGUAAAGCGUGCGCAGGCGGUUUCUUAAGUCAGAUGUGAAAGCCCCGGGCUUAACCUGGGAACUGCGUUUGAAACUGGGAGACUUGAGUGUGGCAGAGGGGGGUGGAAUUCCACGUGUAGCAGUGAAAUGCGUAGAUAUGUGGAGGAACACCGAUGGCGAAGGCGGCAUCCUGGACCAACACUGACGCUGAGGAGCGAAAGCCAGGGGAGCAAACGGG